RNAcentral lists this transfer RNA (55 nucleotides) under Candidatus Azambacteria bacterium. Its description in RNAcentral is "tRNA-Thr". It matches the Rfam family "tRNA", at positions 8 to 61 of the family's 71-position model. From Rfam's summary of the family: Transfer RNA (tRNA) molecules are approximately 80 nucleotides in length. Their secondary structure includes four short double-helical elements and three loops (D, anti-codon, and T loops). The record is from RNAcentral. Lineage: Bacteria; Candidatus Azamiibacteriota.
UAGCUCAGUGGUAGAGCAACUGUUUUGUAAACAGUAGGUCGUCGGUUCGAAUCCG